RNAcentral lists this ribosomal RNA (497 nucleotides) under uncultured bacterium. RNAcentral's name for it is "partial 16S ribosomal RNA". It matches the Rfam family "Bacterial small subunit ribosomal RNA", at positions 28 to 507 of the family's 1533-position model. The record is from RNAcentral.
GAUGAACGCUGGCGGCGUGCCUAGUACAUGCAAGUCGAGCGAACGGACGAGAAGCUUGCUUCUCUGAUGUUAGCGGCGGACGGGUGAGUAACACGUGGAUAACCUACCUAUAAGACUGGGAUAACUUCGGGAAACCGGAGCUAAUACCGGAUAAUAUUUUGAACCGCAUGGUUCAAAAGUGAAAGACGGUCUUGCUGUCACUUAUAGAUGGAUCCGCGCUGCAUUAGCUAGUUGGUAAGGUAACGGCUUACCAAGGCAACGAUGCAUAGCCGACCUGAGAGGGUGAUCGGCCACACUGGAACUGAGACACGGUCCAGACUCCUACGGGAGGCAGCAGUAGGGAAUCCUCCGCAAUGGGCGAAAGCCUGACGGAGCAACGCCGCGUGAGUGAUGAAGGUCUUCGGAUCGUAAAACUCUGUUAUUAGGGAAGAACAUAUGUGUAAGUAACUGUGCACAUCUUGACGGUACCUAAUCAGAAAGCCACGGCUAACUACGUG